CAUGCUCGUCGCACGAGCUUCCGUUGCAAUGACGUGCUUGCACUGAUUUCAACAAUGAAGCGAGUGGCGAACUGGUGAGUAACACGUGGGAAAUCUGCCCAGAAGCAGGGGAUAACACUUGGAAACAGGUGCUAAUACCGUAUAACAACAAAAUCCGCAUGGAUUUUGUUUGAAAGGUGGCUUCGGCUAUCACUUCUGGAUGAUCCCGCGGCGUAUUAGUUAGUUGGUGAGGUAAAGGCCCACCAAGACGAUGAUACGUAGCCGACCUGAGAGGGUAAUCGGCCACAUUGGGACUGAGACACGGCCCAAACUCCUACGGGAGGCAGCAGUAGGGAAUCUUCCACAAUGGACGAAAGUCUGAUGGAGCAAUGCCGCGUGAGUGAAGAAGGGUUUCGGCUCGUAAAACUCUGUUGUUAAAGAAGAACACCUUUGAGAGUAACUGUUCAAGGGUUGACGGUAUUUAACCAGAAAGCCACGGCUAACUACGUGCCAGCAGCCGCGGUAAUACGUAGGUGGCAAGCGUUGUCCGGAUUUAUUGGGCGUAAAGCGAGCGCAGGCGGUUUUUUAAGUCUGAUGUGAAAGCCUUCGGCUUAACCGGAGAAGUGCAUCGGAAACUGGGAGACUUGAGUGCAGAAGAGGACAGUGGAACUCCAUGUGUAGCGGUGGAAUGCGUAGAUAUAUGGAAGAACACCAGUGGCGAAGGCGGCUGUCUAGUCUGUAACUGACGCUGAGGCUCGAAAGCAUGGGUAGCGAACAGGAUUAGAUACCCUGGUAGUCCAUGCCGUAAACGAUGAGUGCUAAGUGUUGGAGGGUUUCCGCCCUUCAGUGCUGCAGCUAACGCAUUAAGCACUCCGCCUGGGGAGUACGACCGCAAGGUUG
This 879-nucleotide ribosomal RNA is filed under the name Levilactobacillus brevis. RNAcentral's name for it is "bacterial SSU rRNA". It matches the Rfam family "Bacterial small subunit ribosomal RNA", at positions 54 to 896 of the family's 1533-position model. The record is from RNAcentral. Lineage: Bacteria; Bacillati; Bacillota; Bacilli; Lactobacillales; Lactobacillaceae.